AUUGAACGCUGGCGGCAGGCCUAACACAUGCAAGUCGAGCGGAUGAAGGGAGCUUGCUCCUGGAUUCAGCGGCGGACGGGUGAGUAAUGCCUAGGAAUCUGCCUGGUGGUGGGGGAUAACGUCCGGAAACGGGCGCUAAUACCGCAUACGUCCUGAGGGAGAAAGUGGGGGAUCUUCGGACCUCACGCUAUCAGAUGAGCCUAGGUCGGAUUAGCUAGUUGGUGGGGUAAAGGCCUACCAAGGCGACGAUCCGUAACUGGUCUGAGAGGAUGAUCAGUCACACUGGAACUGAGACACGGUCCAGACUCCUACGGGAGGCAGCAGUGGGGAAUAUUGGACAAUGGGCGAAAGCCUGAUCCAGCAAUGCCGCGUGUGUGAAGAAGGUCUUCGGAUUGUAAAGCACUUUAAGUUGGGAGGAAGGGCAGUAAGUUAAUACCUUGCUGUUUUGACGUUACCAACAGAAUAAGCACCGGCUAACUUCGUG
This 484-nucleotide ribosomal RNA is filed under the name uncultured bacterium. Its description in RNAcentral is "partial 16S ribosomal RNA". It matches the Rfam family "Bacterial small subunit ribosomal RNA", at positions 30 to 507 of the family's 1533-position model. The record is from RNAcentral.